RNAcentral lists this ribosomal RNA (272 nucleotides) under uncultured bacterium. Its description in RNAcentral is "partial small subunit ribosomal RNA". It matches the Rfam family "Bacterial small subunit ribosomal RNA", at positions 26 to 285 of the family's 1533-position model. The record is from RNAcentral.
AGGACUAACGUUGGCGGCGUGCCUAAUACAUGCAAGUCGAGCGGGUCAGGGGGCAACUCCUGAUUAGCGGCGAACGGGUGAGUAACACGUGGAUGAUCUACCUCCGAGAUUGGGACAACCAGCCGAAAAGGUCGGCUAAUACCGAAUAAGACCACGGCUAGCAUCGACUAGCUGCGGUAAAAGCUGGGGAUCGCAAGACCUAGCACUUGGAUAUGAGUCCGCGCCUGAUUAGCUAGUUGGCGGGGUAAUGGCCCACAAGGCGACGAUCAGUA